Molecule: long non-coding RNA, 94 nt
Organism: Gopherus evgoodei (Goodes thornscrub tortoise)
Lineage: Eukaryota; Metazoa; Chordata; Testudines; Testudinidae
Exons: 3
Source: RefSeq, a predicted model, not a curated record
CUUAAAAUCGACUGCUGUACUCCUCCCCGACGAGGGGAGUAGCACUAAAAUCGACCUUCCUGGGUCGAAUUUGGAAUAGUAUGGCCACAAAUCA